Molecule: ribosomal RNA, 1469 nt
Filed under: Ceratomyxa sp. c SS-2022
Lineage: Eukaryota; Metazoa; Cnidaria; Myxozoa; Bivalvulida; Ceratomyxidae
Description: SSU rRNA
Rfam family: Eukaryotic small subunit ribosomal RNA
Source: RNAcentral
GGUUCGAUUCCGGAGAGGGAGCCUGAGAAACGGCUACCACAUCCAAGGACGGCAGCAGGCGCGCAAAUUACCCAAUCCAGACACUGGGAGGUAGUGACGAGAAAUACUGGGGGCGCUCCAUGCGAGUGCCAUCCGGAAUGAACGUAACACAAAAAAUUCGAUGAGGAUCUACUGGAGGGCAAGUCUGGUGCCAGCAGCCGCGGUAAUUCCAGCUCCAGUAGUGUAUAUCAACAUUGUUGCGCUUAAAACGCUCGUAGUUGGAUUACAGAGCUCCAAACAUGCCCGCCCGCACUCGCGGGUGUCGGUGUGGUCGAUGCAAGCGCCGCCAGCCGGACAACAGUCCUGGUCGGCGGCGUAGCGAGACGGAGCUCUUUUGUCGCACUGGUUCUGGUCGGUGUCUUUGCUGACGCUGGCCAGCUGCCGGUGGAGUGUGCCUUGAAUAAAGCAUAGUGCUCAAAGCAGGCGAACGCUCGUGUGUAAUAGCAUGGAACGAAUAGAUUGACUGCGGCCGGGCGCCGGUGCGGCGGCGAGAGUCGCUGUGUCGCGUCGCGGCCGUCCAGGGCUCGAUCAGUGUUGGUUGGAGUCGCGGUCUCAACGGUUAACAGGGACACCUGAGGGCACUAGUACUUUGUGGCGAGAGGUGAAAUUCUUAGACCCACAAAAGACUGACUACUGCGAAAGCAUUUGCCAAGAGUGUUUUCAUUAAUCAAGAACGAAGGUCAGAGGAUCGAAGACGAUCAGAUACCGUCCUAGUUUUGACAGCAAACUAUGCCGGCAUAGGGUUGGGGCGGUCGCUGCUGAACAGGCAGUCGAACCACCUCAGGCCUUAGGGGAAACCUAGCUUUCGGGCUGCUGGGAGAAUAUCGCUGCAAGGCUGAAAUUUAAAGAAAUUGACGGAGAGGCACCACCAGGAGUGGAGCCUGCGGCUUAAUUUGACUCAACACGGGGAAACUCACCAGGUCCAGACAUUGGCAGGAUUGACAGACUGGUAGAUCUUUCAUGAUUCAGUGAAUGGUGGUGCAUGGCCGUUCUUAGUUGGUGGAGUGAUCUGUCAGGUCUAUUCCGGUAACGAGCGAGACCACGGCCUUUAGUUGCGUCGGCUGGAUUGCAGUGUCGGCGGCGUCACGUCGCCGGCCACCAGCCCGCCUAGAGGGACUAUUGGUGUUCUAUUAAACCAGGGGAAGCGUGGCAAUAACAGGUCUGUGAUGCCCUUCGAUGUCCUGGGCUGCACGCGCGCUACAAUGGCAGCAGCAGAGAGCGUCGACUAGCCAGAGAUGGCCGGUUAAACUGUAAACAGCUGUCGUGAUAGGGAUUGAGCCUUGCAAUUUUUGCUCAUGAAAGAGGAAUUCCUCGUAAGCACGAGUCAUCAGCUCGUGUUGAAUACGUCUCUGCCUCUUGUACACACCGCCCGUCGCUACUACCGAUUGAAUUGCUUCUAAAGCUGGCUGGACCGGACCUGUGCCCUAGGG